This 640-nucleotide unclassified non-coding RNA is filed under the name Hevea brasiliensis (rubber tree). The record is from RNAcentral. Lineage: Eukaryota; Viridiplantae; Streptophyta; Magnoliopsida; Malpighiales; Euphorbiaceae.
GCCAAAUUCCAUUCUCCUGCAAAAAAACAAAGAAUUAUAAUUCCAACUAUAGGAAGAGAUUAGGAGAUAAAACGGGCAAAAAUUCUCAUAUAUUCAGCCGAAAGCGCAAAAAUUUCAAAUUUCUUGCUCACCCUUUGGCUAAAAAUGAAAAUGCAGGGCAGAAAAAAAGAAAGAAAACAAGAGAAAAUCUUUGAACUUCCACAUUUACUUGACGGGGAAAAUAAAGGACUUGUGAGCGUAAAACCAACAUUCUUCACUAACCACAGCUAAUCUCUCACUCCAAGACAACUAAAAUGAACCGCAAAAUACAAGAAAAUUUAACUUUUUUUUUCCUCUUUCUCAGUAACCAACCAAACAAAGAAAACAGAACUUCUGAUACUUUUUUCCCCUUAUCUUUUUAACAAAUCUGCACUUCGGACAGCAAAAUCUCUCCACCUUUUGACCUGUAAAAACUCUCCAAGAAAAUCUAAUGAAGAAAGGACUUAAAAUGAGAAAAUGUAAACAUUACAGCAAGAGAAUACUAGAACACCAUUAACUACCAUAAUCAGCAAUAAUGAGCAAAAAACACAGAGAGAGAGGGAAAUAGAGAGAAAUUGUAAGGAGAAUUUGGAACUUACAUUAAUGAAAACUGUAAGUAAUG